ACACAUGCAAGUCGAACGAUGAAGCCCUUCGGGGUGGAUUAGUGGCGAACGGGUGAGUAACACGUGGGCAAUCUGCCCUUCACUCUGGGACAAGCCCUGGAAACGGGGUCUAAUACCGGAUAAUACUUUCUCCCGCAUGGGGGAAGGUUGAAAGCUCCGGCGGUGAAGGAUGAGCCCGCGGCCUAUCAGCUUGUUGGUGGGGUGAUGGCCUACCAAGGCGACGACGGGUAGCCGGCCUGAGAGGGCGACCGGCCACACUGGGACUGAGACACGGCCCAGACUCCUACGGGAGGCAGCAGUGGGGAAUAUUGCACAAUGGGCGAAAGCCUGAUGCAGCGACGCCGCGUGAGGGAUGACGGCCUUCGGGUUGUAAACCUCUUUCAGCAGGGAAGAAGCGAAAGUGACGGUACCUGCAGAAGAAGCGCCGGCUAACUACGUGCCAGCAGCCGCGGUAAUACGUAGGGCGCAAGCGUUGUCCGGAAUUAUUGGGCGUAAAGAGCUCGUAGGCGGCUUGUCACGUCGGAUGUGAAAGCCCGGGGCUUAACCCCGGGUCUGCAUUCGAUACGGGCAGGCUAGAGUGUGGUAGGGGAGAUCGGAAUUCCUGGUGUAGCGGUGAAAUGCGCAGAUAUCAGGAGGAACACCGGUGGCGAAGGCGGAUCUCUGGGCCAUUACUGACGCUGAGGAGCGAAAGCGUGGGGAG
This 700-nucleotide ribosomal RNA is filed under the name Streptomyces sp. RNAcentral's name for it is "bacterial SSU rRNA". It matches the Rfam family "Bacterial small subunit ribosomal RNA", at positions 51 to 768 of the family's 1533-position model. Lineage: Bacteria; Bacillati; Actinomycetota; Actinomycetes; Kitasatosporales; Streptomycetaceae. The record is from RNAcentral.